RNAcentral lists this long non-coding RNA (201 nucleotides) under Manihot esculenta (cassava). Its description in RNAcentral is "long non-coding RNA (MESC_LNC008022)". Lineage: Eukaryota; Viridiplantae; Streptophyta; Magnoliopsida; Malpighiales; Euphorbiaceae. The record is from RNAcentral.
UUCGCUGGUGAUCAUCCUAACUGCUCUGAGGUAAUCAAAUGGAUCAUCUCCCGUGUUGUAUUUAGGAGCAUCCAAUUUCAAGUACUCCGUCAUUUGGACUUUACCUCCAGAUGAGCUAGGUUCAUGUCUGUCAACAACAGGGGCUACUGGUUCUGGUGGUAGUACUGGGUCAUUUGGCUCUACGUGUGCUGCACUUGGAUG